Nyctereutes procyonoides (raccoon dog) is the source of this 605-nucleotide long non-coding RNA. RefSeq lists it as uncharacterized. The record is from RefSeq and is a predicted model, not a curated record. Lineage: Eukaryota; Metazoa; Chordata; Mammalia; Carnivora; Canidae. The transcript is spliced from 2 exons.
GACCUCGGCCGCGCCGCGCGGACCCGGGCCGGCAGGGGCUGGCGCAGCCGCAGGACCCGACUGAAGUCGCCUGCGUGCGCGGCGUCUCCGCAAAGUCCGCGCCCAGGACCUAACUUAGAAUGUGCGGGUGUCUUAGGAGAACAAGCAGCCAGGACGGUCACAGUCCGUGUUUCUGGUGUCGUGCUGAUGACUGAUUGUAGCCUGACAGCAUUUCCUAUCCACAGAAGAACCAAAGGAGCGGAAAUGAUUUUUAUCAUUAAUCACUCAGUAUGGCUCUCUCCCCUCGCCCAACUUUCUCUCUCAUCCGACUUUUUCGCACACAGUGAGAGAGAGAGGCAGAGACACAGGCAGAGGGAGAAGCAGGCUCCAUACACUGGGAGCCCGACGUGGGACUCGAUCCCGGGUCUCCAGGAUCGCGCCCUGGGCCAAAGGCAGGCGCUAAACCGCUGCGCCACCCAGGGAUUCCCCCGUACUGAGAUUUUUAAGAUCAGAGACUCGACUAUGCAUAUUAACUUCCCAGGCGUCAUAAAGGACUCUGAUUUUCUUUGAAUUGUAAAUAUCUAGGAUUUGUGAAUUACAAAUUAAAUAGUUUUUUGAUACCUUGA